UCACCUACUUGGACGGGGUGUAUGAGUGCUUGUGUAGGCUCAUGGCCUAGGCUGUUGACCUCCAUUGCACAUUGCUAAGGGCAGCCGCCUAUGAUAUCCUCAAGUGGGAAAGUCUACGUCAUAAUUUAUGGUAGUGGAGGCCUGCGUUCGCGCAACCCAUGU
This is a small nuclear RNA of Amaranthus tricolor (Joseph's coat), 162 nucleotides long. RefSeq annotates it as U1 spliceosomal RNA. NCBI's taxonomy places the organism in Eukaryota, Viridiplantae, Streptophyta, Magnoliopsida, Caryophyllales, Amaranthaceae. The transcript has a single exon. The record is from RefSeq and is a predicted model, not a curated record.